UCCCAGACUCCUACGGGAGGCAGCAGUGGGGAAUAUUGCACAAUGGGGGAAACCCUGAUGCAGCGACGCCGCGUGAGCGAAGAAGUACCUCGGUAUGUAAAGCUCUAUCAGCAGGGAAGAAGAUGACGGUACCUGACCAAGAAGCUCCGGCUAAAUACGUGCCAGCAGCCGCGGUAAUACGUAGGGGGCAAGCGUUAUCCGGAUUUACUGGGUGUAAAGGGGGCGCAGACGGCAGCGCAAGCCAGGAGUGAAAGCCCGGGGCCCAACCCCGGGACUGCUCUUGGAACUGCGCGGCUGGAGUGCAGGAGGGGCAGGCGGAAUUCCUGGUGUAGCGGUGAAAUGCGUAGAUAUCAGGAGGAACACCGGUGGCGAAGGCGGCCUGCUGGACUGCGACUGACGUUGAGGCCCGAAAGCGUGGGGAGCAAACAGGAUUAGAUACCCUUGUAC
RNAcentral lists this ribosomal RNA (447 nucleotides) under uncultured bacterium. RNAcentral describes it as "partial 16S ribosomal RNA". It matches the Rfam family "Bacterial small subunit ribosomal RNA", at positions 329 to 793 of the family's 1533-position model. The record is from RNAcentral.